GGAGAGAUGGCUGAGUGGUUGAUAGCUCCGGUCUUGAAAACCGGUAUAGUUCUAGGAACUAUCGAGGGUUCGAAUCCCUCU
This 81-nucleotide transfer RNA is filed under the name Taeniatherum caput-medusae. RNAcentral's name for it is "partial tRNA-Ser". It matches the Rfam family "tRNA". From Rfam's summary of the family: Transfer RNA (tRNA) molecules are approximately 80 nucleotides in length. The record is from RNAcentral. Lineage: Eukaryota; Viridiplantae; Streptophyta; Magnoliopsida; Poales; Poaceae.